CUACUUACUAUUGCCUUUAGCUUUAUUACCCAGGGCCUCGGGCUACUGUAGAUAGUAUCAAACAAAUCUUCUGAAGAAAGAAAAAUAUUGUCAUUUCCUCCACCAAUUGGUUGUAUGCAUUUUUAAGGUCGGAGAUGUAAUUUUUGUGUCCUCAACUAGAAGCUAGUGGAAAUAUUUUGUAGUCUAUCCAAUCAUUCAGCCACUUAGCUUGUGAUCUCUGUCUCAAAAACUCCUCCAUGUCCCCCAGAGAGUCAAUAGAUCUCUUGUGAGAUCCAAUAUCAGCCAUAAAAUCAGCAUAGUAUAGGUAAUUAUUUAAUAUUGCCGUCUAUGUUUAUAUCUUUUCAGUUUUCUUCUCUAGAAACCAAAAUUCAUUUCGUUCUAGACUAACAGUGCCCUGCAACAAGUGAUGGAAAAGCAUCUGUCAUAUUUUUGCGAUUAAUUUCGCUUCAAUGCUGACGUGGAAAGUUAAAAAAAAAAGCUGAGAAAGCCAAUUUUCUUGCUACUACGCAAAUAAUCUCCACUUUCGAUCGCUUCGUCGACUGUUAGACAAUACUUCCUUCCUCCCUGUUGGUAAGAGACCACCGAAUACAUCAAUCACAUAGGUAAGAGAAAGAGAAGGAAACAACGAUGUGCGUUUUGAGUUUUGUGAUAUUAUUUUGUUAUUAACACAAUAAUUUCUUGUUUCAUCAUAUGAUAAAGACAAAAUAGGAUUUUUUGAUCUUUUAUCAACUUUAGUGUGUGCUAAAAAUAAUUUGACAGUGCUGAGCUUGUCGCCUGAGAGUUUGGGGUUUAUUGUGUACGAAGAAAAAAAAGUUGGGCUUUAAGCUUCUCCAAUCUUCUUUCAGUUUCAUGAAUAGGGAAAAAAAUUAGUUUCGAAAACAUAGUUUGAUAAUGCUGGGCUCAUUCAAUUAUGCUUGAGUUUUACUGUAUGCGAAAAAAUAAUUUCUAACUUAUGCAUCUUCAUUUUUCUUUCCGUUUUAGAUGUAAGGAAAAUCUUAGUUUUGAAAUGCAGAGCUUCAAUUUAAACCUUCAAACGAGGUAUAUUUACAAUUUCCUGUUUUGCUGGAUCAAAGAAAAUGCUAUAGUGGUGCUUUCAAUUAUAAGCAGCUUUCCAUUGGACAACGAAGAGAAUGGAUGAUUUCCUGUUUUGCUAGAUCAUAUGGUUGAAUUGAAGUAGUACUGUAUGUUAAUUUGUGAGAAUGAUAUGUUUACAUGUUGAUGUGGUUGUUUAAUGUGGUUGAAUAAGACUAAGUCGAUGGAAAGCAAAAAUAAGGGAAUAUGUCAUUGUUGUAGAUAAAGGGGACAUAUGUUGCCAGAAUGCUCGAGAAAGAGAAGCUAUCCAAAUUGUGGUUUGGGAUUCAUCAAAUGGAUGGAGGUCGAAAAGAACAAUGAUCAUAAAUGGCUAUUGUUCCAUUGUUGUACUCGCGAUUGUAGGUACUUCAAGUGGUGUAACAAAUUCCUUGACAAAAAGUGUCCAUUGCAUGAUGAUGGUAAAUCAAGUGCAUCAGAAAUGGAGGCGAACACGUGGAUGAUUAGCCACAAAUGUUAAAAACGCUUGCUAAGCUAACUGACGAAAAAGACUUGAAGAUCUGGCUUAGAAUAAAUAUGCACAAAGGAAAACAAGUUUUGGAGAAUGAAAUCUAAAUAUGUUGUGUAUUUGGAUGGUUUAGGAUGGUGUAUCGGAAAAAGACUUUCGAAUUGUUGUCGUCGAAAGUGCUUAUGUACGAUAUGUUGGUACUUUCAUAUGUAAUCAGAUUUUCUCAAAAAUUGUAUUGAUGUUUAACUAGCUUUUCAAGGUGUGACUUGCUUCUCAAGGUGUGCCAAGAGUCCCUUUGUACUUAUAGUUACUGUCUAUGAGAAUGGUCACCACUUACGUUGUGAUUUGAAAAGAAUGUUUAGUUGUAGUUUCACUGCAUUUAUGUUGGCAAGGCACACUUUAUUUGGCUAGUGAUUUUUUUGUUUUCAAUUUUAGAAGUAUGUUCGAUUUUUA
Long non-coding RNA from Olea europaea var. sylvestris, 1990 nucleotides. RefSeq lists it as uncharacterized. The record is from RefSeq and is a predicted model, not a curated record. Lineage: Eukaryota; Viridiplantae; Streptophyta; Magnoliopsida; Lamiales; Oleaceae. The transcript is spliced from 2 exons.